UAUAUACACUUUCUCCAGGGAAAUGUUAUCUUACCUACCUGGUUUUUGUGAAGAAACAUACACAAAUUAGUUUUUGAAACUGUGCCUUUAAUGCAUUUAAAGUAGUAAACAAGAUUCAUACAGAUGAAGUACAAAAUAACUGAGUAGAAAAAUGUAUCCAUAAAACUGAAGAAAAUUAUUUUGGCUUAGAGAUUAGAAGUAAAAAAUCCCAGAUUCUCUAUGCCAAUGCUGAGAAUAUUACAGUCUUUGAACUUGCAUUAAGACGGAUUUUUGUGGCCAGUCUCAUUACUGGACAAAUUCCACCCUUAGUCAUUGUCAUCGUUAUUUUAUUUCACAGAAAAAAAAAGAUACCUCAGUUUCAGUACAUGUAUAAUAAAGAGACCUUGUCCCACACCUACACACACUACAAGACACAGUUUGAAUAGGAACUGAUUGAUGAAAAGGACUGUAAAAAGAAAGAACGUUAUCUCUCACACACUCUCUUUCUCCACUGAACAUUUGAUAAUAAUGUUUGUAGGCAUGUACCCCGAUCUACAAAAGUUGAGUGUCUAUCCUGUCCUCAGUGUUUUCCAAAGGAAUCCUAGGGCACACUACUUCUGCAUUCUAAAGGUUAUGUUAGUUAGCUCCCUAGGGAGAAAUUAGGUAGGACUCUCUUACAGCCUUGUUACAAUUGCUAGAUGGUAGGAUCUUGUUAGAUUACAUUUCCCACCACCCAGUAGUUUUCAAAGUCCUUUAGCACAAAAAACAUAUAAAACCUGUGUCCUCAGAGCAGACUAUGGUUCUCAGACCAGUUUGUUUAACCGAAUCAAAAUAUACUUCAGCACUAACUUCACUGCUCUUACAGUGCAAAAACUCUCCAGGGCUCUAUUAAAUAGUUAAAAAUGUCAGCAUGCCAUAACCAAUUAGAUGGUCUUGUUGGACACUGUAAGCAAAUGUAACUGCAGGGAAUUCAGACAAAAGGUACAGUCCAGGUCCAGACCACAGACAGCAGCCAAUGUUCCUCUUGGAAAUCCUAUGAGCAUCACUGGGUUUUUUAACUCAGCAGUGGUUGCAUGGCCAGCAGUCAGAUCUGCAGCACCUUGGGAAUGGGUGAAGGAAAGUUGCAACCUUCUAUUCCACAAAAUGUUGUCUUGAAAUCUCUGAAAUGUGCUGAUAGCUAAAAAACACAGCUAAACAUGCUCAGAGAAUCCAGGGGAAAUGCAGUAAUAGCAGCAGAAACAUUGUAGUGCAGAAAGGAUUUGUGAUGUACUCUUUUUACUUUUCUCUUCUUCAGGAUUAAAGACCACAACUUCAUUGUCAGAGGUGGACCUCACAGUUCAGGGUGGAAAAAGUAAUGAGCAUCAAAUGUAGUUUACUGGAUGCACCUUUCAGAAAACAAAUUGCAUACUGCAGCUCCUUAAAACUUCCAGCUAUACAUUACUGAGUAUACUUCAUUGCUGUGAAGACAACCUGAUACGUGUUACACAAACAUAACUGAAGACUCUGUCUCAGAUUCCAAGAGCUGGAAACAAGACAUGGAGAAAACUACUUCUAUUUCUGCUUGUCCAUACAACAGAAAAUAAUUGCAGAAGAAAUCUGACUGAGGAUCUGUGAGCCAUUAGAGGCCUUAAAUAUCUUGAUGCAAUAUCUAGGUUUGGUAUAAAAUUUGUAUUUUGCACCAUUCUCAUAAAAGGAUGUAUAAGUUUGA
This is a long non-coding RNA of Parus major (Great Tit), 1687 nucleotides long. RefSeq lists it as uncharacterized. The record is from RefSeq and is a predicted model, not a curated record. The transcript is spliced from 2 exons. Lineage: Eukaryota; Metazoa; Chordata; Aves; Passeriformes; Paridae.